RNAcentral lists this ribosomal RNA (282 nucleotides) under uncultured Lactobacillus sp. Its description in RNAcentral is "partial 16S ribosomal RNA". It matches the Rfam family "Bacterial small subunit ribosomal RNA", at positions 262 to 524 of the family's 1533-position model. The record is from RNAcentral. Lineage: Bacteria; Bacillati; Bacillota; Bacilli; Lactobacillales; Lactobacillaceae.
GGCUUACCAAGGCGAUGAUGCAUAGCCCGAGUUGAGAGACUGAUCGGGCCACAUGGGGGACUGAGACACGGGGCCCAAACUCCUACGGGGGGAGGGGCAGCAGUAGGGGGAAUCUUCCACAAUGGACGCAAGUCUGAUGGAGCAACGCCGCGUGAGUGAAGAAGGUUUUCGGAUCGUAAAGCUCUGUUGUUGGUGAAGAAGGAUAGAGGUAGUAACUGGCCUUUAUUUGACGGUAAUCAACCAGAAAGUCACGGCUAACUACGUGCCAGCAGCCGCGGUAAU